Long non-coding RNA from Alligator mississippiensis (American alligator), 419 nucleotides. RefSeq lists it as uncharacterized. The transcript has 2 exons. The record is from RefSeq and is a predicted model, not a curated record. Lineage: Eukaryota; Metazoa; Chordata; Crocodylia; Alligatoridae.
AAGCCAGACUGCAACCCUUCAAGGACGAGAAGGAGGUUAUUCUGGUUUCUGUUUAUUUUCUAUUUCUUAUGCCAUCAAUUUAAUGAUUUUCUUUUCAGCUAAGAUUCAAGCCAUCAAGAUUGCAAUCAAUAUAUCAGAAGCUUGUCAUUGGGAAGGUAACCAUAGCAACACAGAGGAGCACAGGAUGCUGCAUCCAAGCUACAUCUGUCUGCUACCAGGAGGAGACUCCUUCAUCACCACAUGCAAGUUUCUCAAAAGACUAUUUAACUACAGCCAGUGUAAUGAGCCCAGCUGCCGUGCCCUAGAUGGGCUGAAGAGUGCGACCAUCUCCCAGAGGAAAGAGGUGAAUCAGGCUGCAAUAAGCAGCACAAGUUCUAGCUCCAUAAGCAAUGUCAGGAAUAAAGUAAAAGGAGACGCUA